RNAcentral lists this transfer RNA (73 nucleotides) under Scleropages formosus (Asian bonytongue). It matches the Rfam family "tRNA". From Rfam's summary of the family: Transfer RNA (tRNA) molecules are approximately 80 nucleotides in length. Lineage: Eukaryota; Metazoa; Chordata; Actinopteri; Osteoglossiformes; Osteoglossidae. The record is from Rfam by way of RNAcentral.
GCCUUGUUAGCACUGUAGGUAAUGUAUCAGUUUCAUAACCUGGAGGUUAUGAGUCCAAUCCUCAUAUGGGGCA